This 345-nucleotide unclassified non-coding RNA is filed under the name soil metagenome. Its description in RNAcentral is "partial contains 5.8S ribosomal RNA, internal transcribed spacer 2, and large subunit ribosomal RNA". The stretch from base 1 to 120 matches the Rfam family "5.8S ribosomal RNA", at positions 35 to 154 of the family's 154-position model. The record is from RNAcentral.
GAUGAAGAACGCAGCGAAAUGCGAUACGUAAUGUGAAUUGCAGAAUUCAGUGAAUCAUCGAGUCUUUGAACGCACAUUGCGCCCCCUGGUAUUCCGGGGGGCAUGCCUGUCCGAGCGUCAUUGCUGCCCUCAAGCACGGCUUGUGUGUUGGGCCUCCGUCCUCCUCCCGGGGGACGGGCCCGAAAGGCAGCGGCGGCACCGCGUCCGGUCCUCGAGCGUAUGGGGCUUCGUCACCCGCUCUUGUAGGCCCGGCCGGCGCUUGCCGACACAUCAAUCUUUUUUCCAGGUUGACCUCGCAUCAGGUAGGGAUACCCGCUGAACUUAAGCAUAUCAAUAAGCGGAGGA